GGGAGAAGCAGAGCAGGGGGCCGACACGGGGCUUAUGCCCAGGACCUCGGGGUCAUGAUCUGAGCUGAAGGAAGAUGCUUCACCACCCAAGCCCCCCAGGCCCCCAUGGGAGGGUCUUCCGAUAUGCCCUGGGCCCCCCUGCCAUUCAGGGACCCCCUAGACCACCCGCUGGCUCCCUCAUUCGCUAGAAGGACUCAGAGCUCAGCCAAGCCCUAUGCUCCCGGGAGGACAGUCCAUUACAGAGGAAGGACACAGGCGGAAAUCAGCAGAGGGAGGAGGUAUGUGGGGCCGGGGCCAGGGCCAGAGAGACCAGGGCCAGGAGUCCUCUCCCCGGGGAGCUGCGUGGACGGAACUCAGCUGUUCAGAACGACAGCAGAACGUGCACAGUGUGUUGCUGAUCACGGCGCGCCCCUGAGCCUUGGCGCCCGUCUUUCCUGGGUCUCAGGCAGCCCUGAGCACACGGUGGCUGACCUCAGCGUGCAACCCCUCCAGAGUCGACCGGGUACCAUGCAGCCCACGGCCCCCAGGUCAAUGAAGAUGCUCUGUGGACAGGCCCACCCCCGGACAGGACCUCCCAGGAGCCACGACCAGACUUUUAUUUCUUGGACAAGGUUGAGAAUCUGUCUCUGAGAACCUGAAGCUUUUCCUGCUGAUUCUCACUAUUCUCCCAGCAAACUACCACCCGAGAAAGUUCCGGAAAGAGCCCCACGGGAGGCGUCCCUGCUACAGCGAAGCAGACCUCACCCACCCCGACCAGGUAAGGCUGCCGCUGGUCGGAGCUGUCCUGGGAGUCUGGGUUUGCGACAGAAGAACGCUUCGUUGGCACGAGGGACGGGCGGGGUGGGGUGGUUCUGCCGGCUCAGGUGUGAGGCUUGCUGUGGCUUUGAGGGGCUUAGGGGGCGGGAUGGGGAGCGUCGGCAGAUCCCUGGGAAUCUGUACGGGGUACCUGCCGUCUGUGACCUGAAAUCCAUCAGCCCGGCUGAUGGACGGGGAAGCUGGACGGGGUGUGGGGUCCACCAUUUGGUGUCCGUGCGAGACGCGGAGGCUGAGGCCAGGUCUGACCGUCCCCUGCCCAGGUCUCCCUGCAGCCAGUGAGCGGUGCUCAGGGCUCCACGGGGUUCCCGAGGGGACUGCCUGAUUCCCUCCGUCCCACCUCAGCUGUGUCAGCGGGUGACCGGCAGACCGCUGCCGGCUCGGGGCCCGUCCCCCUUCAGGUCACCCCGUGUCAGACGCCAGCCGCAAGUCUUGGGGGCCGCUUGCACUUCUGACGUACCGGCUACAAAUUCCCAUGACCUUCGGGUUUGAUAAUUGGCUAGCAUGACUCUCAGAACCUGAGAGCCAUACCUGUGGCUGCGUUUUUAUAAUAAAGGACAUGCAUAGGGUGAGGUCUGCUCUCCCCGUGCAGGGUUCGGACACGUCCCCAUCCUAGCAUGUCCACGUGUUCACCUGUCACCAACCUCCCUGAGCUUUGGGCGUCCAGAGUUUUCCUGGAGCCCUAUUACUUCAUUGGUCACAAGACUGGACCCUGUCUCCUGCCCCUCUCUGUCCCCUGAGGGGGACGGGAAGACUCAGCUUUCUAGUCGGUGCCUCUCUGUCAAAGAACCCUGAGCCCUGAGCCACCCAGUUAGCGGGAAGUCAGGUAUGGGAGUAACAGGUGACAGGAAUUCCAGAGGCCAGGGACAAAACCAGAUGCGGUCUGGUUCCCCUCACCAGGAAGCUCCCUGCGGAGACACUGCCCCAAACUAGAGGGUCAGGCUCGUCGGAGGCAGGGCGGGAACAACCCAAGCCCAAGUCCCGCCGUCCUCCUAGUGCACUGACCCUUUCCUGGGCGGAGCACACGAUGCCGGUGAGAAAUCUGGGCAGGAGGCCGAGGACACAGGCUGGUCCCUCCAGUACUCCUUGAAAGAGCGAGUGCACAGAAUCAGAUUCUCCUCCAGGCACGGGCUCUUCCGGGUGUGCGCUGCUCCUCUCCGCCUCCGGCUGUUUGGGUCUCUCCUUCAGUGGGCUGAUGCUCACGGACCUGUCGCAUGCUGUCACUCAGCCGUCCUCGCGCACCCCCGAUGCGCGGAGCCAGCGGUGCAGGCCGGAGACAGGGGGAGACCAAGCCAAGCCCUCGCCGUUUGCUUCCUGGUGGGGCGAACACAUCUAUAGAGUAAGGUCAGGUAGUGCCGAGGCUCUGAGGAAAGGUGCUAGGAGGCGAUCGCCGUGGUGGAGGCUGUUCUCCCCAGGACAUUCCCCGGCAGGCCCCAGAGCCUGCUGCUCUGGGCAGAGGCUGUUGGAGCAAGGGUGGGAACCAGCCGCCGAGGCUUGGGGAGAACGGUUCAGGCAGAGGGUCUGGUGAGUGCAAAGGCCCCGAGGCAUGUUGGAGAAGCAGCCAAAAGGGCUGGUUUGGGGGCACCUGGGUGGCUCAGUGGGUUAAGCCUCUGCCUUCAGCUCAGGUCAUGAUCUCAGGGUCCUGGGAUCGAGUCCCGCGUCAGGCUCCCUGCUCAGUAGGGAGCCUGCUUCCUGCUCUCUCUCUGCCUGCCUCUCUGCCCACUUGUGAUCUCUCUUUGUCAAAUAAAUAAAACCUUUAAAAAAAAGGGGGGGGGGGACUGGUUUGCUAGGGUCCUGUGGGGGAGCAGGGUAGAAGGUGCGGGGCCUAAAUCAGAAGCUUUUAGGCCAGGAAUAAGGGUUUGGGAGCUUGUCUUAAAGACUGCAGGAGCCAGGGAAGGGCUCUGAGCGAAGGAGGGGUUUGAGUUGUACGCAGAUAACGCUGCCUUCUGUGUAGGGAACACGCAGGGCGGGAAGUCAGAGCGGGAGCAGGGAGCCUCAAGGAAGCUGCUGCUUGUCGUGGGGUGGGGGCGGCUGUACCGUGGACGCGGGAUGAGAAUGGCGGGCCCGGGGACAUGCCAGGGGCGAGAACUUUAAACAACCACCCUUCUACACUGAAAUGGCUCUGUCACCCCAUCGCUAAACCUUCAGGGGCCCCUGAGAGAGCCUGCAGGGGAAGAUCACACUGCCCAGGCUGCCCUGUGACAGGAGCCACGGCAUACGCUGGCUGGGGAGAUCGCAACCCCACGGGACCGUCAGACUCCUUUAGACUCCUUCCGGGGAUCCUGUGAUGAUACCAUAAAACCACCUAUAGGGGGCACAUGGCUUGGGCCUGGCCUCAGCGGGGGGCCAAGCCCCCUGGGAUCAUGUGCCAGCCCCUAAAUCUCAGGAUCCUGGGUCUAAGCACAAGCCCGCGAUGCCCUGCCCCAGAGGAAGGGCUGAGAGCUCCCACCUCCUCGGGCAGGGACCCCUUGGAAGACGCUUUCCCCUGAAGGAGAUCGCAGGGUCCAGCCUCAGGGGAAAAGGUCAGUUCUUGGGGUUGUCAAAGCCAGAAGCUGAUGGCAGCUCUGGGGAAUUCGGGGCCUAGGGGCUGUGCAAGCUGCUGUCUACCGGGAGCCGCCCCCUCUUCCGGCCCCUCGCUGAUCCGAAGGCAGGCUCUGACCUGGUGACCGGGCAGUGGGCAUGUGCACCUCCUUCCUCCCCGCGGGUCCAGGGUCCGGGAGAGAAGGCACCAGAGGAAGGCUCUGGAGUCCCCGUCGCACCCGGCAGUAUGAAGCCUGCAGAGGAAGCCCAGCUGUAUUUUGCCUUUUCAUCCGCUUCAGGCAGGCAGUGGGUCUGGGGCGGGGGAGGCCAAGCAAACCGAGCUGUGGUCGGGGGCCUGCUGGCUCCUGAGCCCUGCGGAUGCCCUCCCGCCUGUGGCGCGGCCCACCCCAGUCUCCGCUCUUCUGGAGGGGGACACACAUGGGCUCCAGAGGGAGCCACGCCUGCCCCCGGGCGCCCCAGAGCACGGGGCUCUGAUGUCUGGAAAGAAAGUCAGGGAGAGGGCCCGGCCUGCCAUCCGUGCCCCCGGCGCAGCCCUCCCCCGG
Mustela putorius furo (domestic ferret) is the source of this 3896-nucleotide long non-coding RNA. The record is from Ensembl. Lineage: Eukaryota; Metazoa; Chordata; Mammalia; Carnivora; Mustelidae.